Callithrix jacchus (white-tufted-ear marmoset) is the source of this 102-nucleotide Y RNA. It matches the Rfam family "Y RNA". From Rfam's summary of the family: Y RNAs are components of the Ro ribonucleoprotein particle (Ro RNP), in association with Ro60 and La proteins. The record is from Ensembl. Lineage: Eukaryota; Metazoa; Chordata; Mammalia; Primates; Cebidae.
GGCUGGCUGGGGUGCAGUGGUGUUUACAACUAAUUGAUCACAAUCAGUUACCAAUUCCUUUGUUUCUGUUCCACUCUCACUGCUUCACUUGACUAGCCUGUA